Molecule: ribosomal RNA, 380 nt
Filed under: uncultured Bacteroidota bacterium
Lineage: Bacteria; Pseudomonadati; Bacteroidota
Description: bacterial SSU rRNA
Rfam family: Bacterial small subunit ribosomal RNA
Source: RNAcentral
UGCGUAUUGGGCCCGACGUCGCAUGCUCCCGGCCGCCAUGGCGGCCGCGGGAAUUCGAUUGUUUGUCUUGAGUUAUAGUGAAGUGGUUAGAAUGUGUAGUGUAGCGGUGAAAUGCAUAGAUAUUACACAGAAUACCAAUUGCGAAGGCAGAUCACUAACAAUUAACUGACACUGAUGGACGAAAGCGUGGGUAGCGAACAGGAUUAGAUACCCUGGUAGUCCACGCCGUAAACGAUGGUCACUAGCUGUUUGGACUUCGGUCUGAGUGGCUAAGCGAAAGUGAUAAGUGACCCACCUGGGGAGUACGUUCGCAAGAAUGAAACUCAAAGGAAUUGACGGGGGCCCGCACAAGCGGUGGAGCAUGUGGUUUAAUUCGAUGA